UGAGGAAUAUUGCGCAAUGGGGGCAACCCUGACGCAGCAACGCCGCGUGAGUGAGGAAGGUUUUCGGACCGUAAAGCUCUGUCGAGCGGGAAGAAAUGCAUGGUGGCUAAUAUCCAUCAUGCUUGACGGUACCGCUAAAGGAAGCACCGGCUAACUCCGUGCCAGCAGCCGCGGUAAUACGGGGGGUGCGAGCGUUGUUCGGAAUUAUUGGGCGUAAAGAGCGUGUAGGCGGCCGAAUAAGUCAGAUGUGAAAUCCCUGGGCUUAACCCAAGACGUGCAUUUGAAACUAUUCGGCUAGAGUAGGGGAGAGGAAAGUGGAAUUCCUGGUGUAGAGGUGAAAUUCGUAGAUAUCAGGAGGAACACCGGUGACGAAGGCGUCUUUCUGGCCCUAUACUGACUCUGAGACUCGAGAGCGUGGGUAGCAAACAG
This 429-nucleotide ribosomal RNA is filed under the name uncultured bacterium. Its description in RNAcentral is "bacterial SSU rRNA". It matches the Rfam family "Bacterial small subunit ribosomal RNA", at positions 355 to 775 of the family's 1533-position model. The record is from RNAcentral.